AGGUUACUGCUAUCGAGGUUCGACUAAGCCAUGCGAGUCGAAUGUAGCAAUACAUGGCGUACUGCUCAGUAACACGUGGACAACCUACCCUCCGGACGGGUAUAAACCCGGGAAACUGGGUAUAAUCCCCGAUAGAUCUCGGUCGCUGGAAAGCCCCGAGAUCGAAAGCUCCGGCGCCAGAGGAUGGGUCUGCGGCCUAUCAGGUAGUAGUGGGUGUAGCGUACCUACUAGCCUACGACGGGUACGGGUUGUGAGAGCAAGAGCCCGGAGAUGGAUUCUGAGACACGAAUCCAGGCCCUACGGGGUGCAGCAGGCGCGAAAACUUUACAAUGCCGGCAACGGCGAUAAGGGGACCUCGAGUGCCAGGAUACAAUCUUGGCUGUCGUAAUGCCUAAAAAGCAUUUCAUAGCAAGGGCCGGGCAAGACCGGUGCCAGCCGCCGCGGUAACACCGGCGGCUCGAGUGGUAACCGCUAUUAUUGGGUCUAAAGGGUCUGUAGCCGGCCGGAUAAGUCUCUUGGGAAAUCCAGCAGCUCAACUGUUGGGCUUUCAGGAGAUACUGUUCGGCUCGAGGCCGGGAGAGGUGAGAGGUGCUUCAGGGGUAGGGGUGAAAUCUUGUAAUCCUUGAAGGACCACCAGUGGCGAAGGCGUCUCACCAGAACGGACCUGACGGCAAGGGACGAAAGCUAGGGGCACGAACCGGAUUAGAUACCCGGGUAGUCCUAGCCGUAAACGAUACUCGCUAGGCGUCAGCCACGGUGCGACCGUGGUUGGUGCCGUAGGGAAGCCGUGAAGCGAGCCACCUGGGAAGUACGGCCGCAAGGCUGAAACUUAAAGGAAUUGGCGGGG
This 847-nucleotide ribosomal RNA is filed under the name uncultured archaeon. RNAcentral describes it as "bacterial SSU rRNA". It matches the Rfam family "Archaeal small subunit ribosomal RNA", at positions 21 to 873 of the family's 1478-position model. The record is from RNAcentral.